GACUAGUGGUUAGAGUGUUGGACUAGUAACCAGCAGGUAGCCUAGUGGUUAGAGUGUUGGACUAGUAACCAGCAGGUAGCCUAGUGGUUAGAGUGUUGGACUAGUAACCAGCAGGUAGCCUAGUGGUUAGAGUGUUGGACUAGUAACCAGCAGGUAGACUAGUGGUUAGAGUGUUGGACUAGUAACCAGCAGGUAGCCUAGUGGUUAGAGCGUUGGACUAGUAACCAGCAGGUAGACUAGUGGUUAGAGUGUUGGACUAGUAACCAGCAGGUAGCCUAGUGGUUAGAGCGUUGGACUAGUAACCAGCAGGUAGCCUAGUGGUUAGAGCGUUGGACUAGUAACCAGCAGGUAGCCUAGUGGUUAGAGUGUUGGACUAGUAACCGGCAGGUAGCCUAGUGGUUAGAGUGUUGGACUAGUAACCAGCAGGUAGUCUAGUGGUUAGAGCGUUGGACUAGUAACCAGCAGGUAGCCUAGUGGUUAGAGCGUUGGACUAGUAACCAGCAGGUAGUCUAGUGGUUAGAGUGUUGGACUAGUAACCAGCAGGUAGUCUAGUGGUUAGAGUGUUGGACUAGUAACCAGCAGGUAGUCUAGUGGUUAGAGUGUUGGACUAGUAACCAGCAGGUAGUCUAGUGGUUAGAGUGUUGGACUAGUAACCAGCAGGUAGUCUAGUGGUUAGAGUGUUGGACUAGUAACCAGCAGGUAGUCUAGUGGUUAGAGUGUUGGACUAGUAACCAGCAGGUAGUCUAGUGGUUAGAGUGUUGGACUAGUAACCAGCAGGUAGUCUAGUGGUUAGAGUGUUGGACUAGUAACCAGCAGGUAGUCUAGUGGUUAGAGUGUUGGACUAGUAACCAGCAGGUAGUCUAGUGGUUAGAGUGUUGGACUAGUAACCAGCAGGUAGUCUAGUGGUUAGAGUGUUGGACUAGUAACCAGCAGGUAGUCUAGUGGUUAGAGUGUUGGACUAGUAACCAGCAGGUAGUCUAGUGGUUAGAGUGUUGGACUAGUAACCAGCAGGUAGUCUAGUGGUUAGAGUGUUGGACUAGUAACCAG
Molecule: long non-coding RNA, 1047 nt
Organism: Oncorhynchus keta (chum salmon)
Lineage: Eukaryota; Metazoa; Chordata; Actinopteri; Salmoniformes; Salmonidae
Exons: 7
Source: RefSeq, a predicted model, not a curated record